AACCUUCGGGUUAGUGGCGGACGGGUGAGUAACGCGUGGGAAUCUGCCCUCAGGAGGGGGAUAACGGUUGGAAACGGCCGCUAAUACCCCAUAUGCCGAGAGGUGAAAUGAAUUUCGCCUGAGGAUGAGCCCGCGUCUGAUUAGCUAGUUGGUGAGGUAAGAGCUCACCAAGGCAUCGAUCAGUAGCUGGUCUGAGAGGAUGAUCAGCCACACUGGGACUGAGACACGGCCCAGACUCCUACGGGAGGCAGCAGUGGGGAAUUUUCCGCAAUGGGCGAAAGCCUGACGGAGCAACGCCGCGUGAGGGAUGAAGGCCUCUGGGCUGUAAACCUCUUUUAUCAAGGAAGAAGAUCUGACGGUACUUGAUGAAUAAGCCACGGCUAAUUCCGUGCCAGCAGCCGCGGUAAUACGGGAGUGGCAAGCGUUAUCCGGAAUUAUUGGGCGUAAAGCGUCCGCAGGCGGCCCUACAAGUCUGCUGUUAAAAAGUGGAGCUUAACUCCAUCAUGGCAGUGGAAACUGUUGGGCUUGAGUGUGGUAGGGGCAGAGGGAAUUCCCGGUGUAGCGGUGAAAUGCGUAGAUAUCGGGAAGAACACCAGUGGCGAAGGCGCUCUGCUGGGCCAUCACUGACGCUCAUGGACGAAAGCCAGGGGAGCGAAAGGGAUUAGAUACCCCUGUAGUCCUGGCCGUAAACGAUGAACACUAGGUGUCGGGGGAAUCGACCCCUCCGGUGUCGUAGCCAACGCGUUAAGUGUUCCGCCUGGGGAGUACGCACGCAAGUGUGAAACUCAAAGGAAUUGACGGGGGCCCGCACAAGCGGUGGAGUAUGUGGUUUAAUUCGAUGCAACGCGAAGAACCUUACCAGGGUUUGACAUCCUGCGAAUCUCUUGGAAACUUGAGAGUGCCUUCGGGAGCGCAGUGACAGGUGGUGCAUGGCUGUCGUCAGCUCGUGUCGUGAGAUGUUGGGUUAAGUCCCGCAACGAGCGCAACCCACGUCUUUAGUUGCCAGCAUUUAGUUGGGCACUCUAGAGAGACCGCCGGUGAUAAACCGGAGGAAGGUGUGGAUGACGUCAAGUCAUCAUGCCCCUUACAUCCUGGGCUACACACGUACUACAAUGCUACGGACAAAGGGCAGCAAGUUCGCGAGGACAAGCAAAUCCCAUAAACCGUGGCUCAGUUCAGAUCGUAGGCUGCAACUCGCCUACGUGAAGGAGGAAUCGCUAGUAAUCGCAGGUCAGCAUACUGCGGUGAAUACGUUCCCGGGCCUUGUACACACCGCCCAUCACACCAUGGAAGUUGGCCACGCCCGAAGCCGUUACUCCAACCCUUGUGGAGGAGGAC
Molecule: ribosomal RNA, 1338 nt
Filed under: uncultured bacterium
Lineage: Bacteria
Description: bacterial SSU rRNA
Rfam family: Bacterial small subunit ribosomal RNA
Source: RNAcentral